UUUUAAUUUAAAAUAUUUUUUAAAUUUUAAGUGAUUCUACGUUGUUUUUAUUUUUAUUUUUAAAUCUACGUAGCAUGUUUUAUUUUUAAAUAUUUUUUUUAUUCAAAAAAUUAGAAAAAUAACAAUUUUAAUAAUAAUGUUUUAUAAAAAAUGUCAUAAAUUUUAAAAAUUAAAAAAAAGCAUGCAGUUAGUCACGUAGAAUUUAAUUUAUUUUAUUGAAUUCAAACAUACAGAAUCUAAAUAUUAUUAAAAAAAUC
Molecule: long non-coding RNA, 257 nt
Filed under: Lathyrus oleraceus (garden pea)
Lineage: Eukaryota; Viridiplantae; Streptophyta; Magnoliopsida; Fabales; Fabaceae
Description: Pisum sativum (pea) long non-coding RNA (PSAT_LNC022645)
Source: RNAcentral